RNAcentral lists this ribosomal RNA (1445 nucleotides) under Staphylococcus xylosus. Its description in RNAcentral is "bacterial SSU rRNA". It matches the Rfam family "Bacterial small subunit ribosomal RNA". The record is from RNAcentral. Lineage: Bacteria; Bacillati; Bacillota; Bacilli; Caryophanales; Staphylococcaceae.
UGCUAAUACAUGCAAGUCGAGCGAACAGAUAAGGAGCUUGCUCCUUUGAAGUUAGCGGCGGACGGGUGAGUAACACGUGGGUAACCUACCUAUAAGACUGGGAUAACUUCGGGAAACCGGAGCUAAUACCGGAUAACAUUUAGAACCGCAUGGUUCUAAAGUGAAAGAUGGUUUUGCUAUCACUUAUAGAUGGACCCGCGCCGUAUUAGCUAGUUGGUAAGGUAACGGCUUACCAAGGCGACGAUACGUAGCCGACCUGAGAGGGUGAUCGGCCACACUGGAACUGAGACACGGUCCAGACUCCUACGGGAGGCAGCAGUAGGGAAUCUUCCGCAAUGGGCGAAAGCCUGACGGAGCAACGCCGCGUGAGUGAUGAAGGGUUUCGGCUCGUAAAACUCUGUUAUUAGGGAAGAACAAAUGUGUAAGUAACUGUGCACAUCUUGACGGUACCUAAUCAGAAAGCCACGGCUAACUACGUGCCAGCAGCCGCGGUAAUACGUAGGUGGCAAGCGUUAUCCGGAAUUAUUGGGCGUAAAGCGCGCGUAGGCGGUUUCUUAAGUCUGAUGUGAAAGCCCACGGCUCAACCGUGGAGGGUCAUUGGAAACUGGGAAACUUGAGUGCAGAAGAGGAAAGUGGAAUUCCAUGUGUAGCGGUGAAAUGCGCAGAGAUAUGGAGGAACACCAGUGGCGAAGGCGACUUUCUGGUCUGUAACUGACGCUGAUGUGCGAAAGCGUGGGGAUCAAACAGGAUUAGAUACCCUGGUAGUCCACGCCGUAAACGAUGAGUGCUAAGUGUUAGGGGGUUUCCGCCCCUUAGUGCUGCAGCUAACGCAUUAAGCACUCCGCCUGGGGAGUACGACCGCAAGGUUGAAACUCAAAGGAAUUGACGGGGACCCGCACAAGCGGUGGAGCAUGUGGUUUAAUUCGAAGCAACGCGAAGAACCUUACCAAAUCUUGACAUCCUUUGAAAACUCUAGAGAUAGAGCCUUCCCCUUCGGGGGACAAAGUGACAGGUGGUGCAUGGUUGUCGUCAGCUCGUGUCGUGAGAUGUUGGGUUAAGUCCCGCAACGAGCGCAACCCUUAAGCUUAGUUGCCAUCAUUAAGUUGGGCACUCUAGGUUGACUGCCGGUGACAACCGGAGGAAGGUGGGGAUGACGUCAAAUCAUCAUGCCCCUUAUGAUUUGGGCUACACACGUGCUACAAUGGACAAUACAAAGGGCAGCUAAACCGCGAGGUCAUGCAAAUCCCAUAAAGUUGUUCUCAGUUCGGAUUGUAGUCUGCAACUCGACUACAUGAAGCUGGAAUCGCUAGUAAUCGUAGAUCAGCAUGCUACGGUGAAUACGUUCCCGGGUCUUGUACACACCGCCCGUCACACCACGAGAGUUUGUAACACCCGAAGCCGGUGGAGUAACCAUUUAUGGAGCUAGCCGUCGAAGGUGGACAAAA